This 419-nucleotide ribosomal RNA is filed under the name Lactiplantibacillus pentosus. RNAcentral describes it as "bacterial SSU rRNA". It matches the Rfam family "Bacterial small subunit ribosomal RNA", at positions 47 to 438 of the family's 1533-position model. Lineage: Bacteria; Bacillati; Bacillota; Bacilli; Lactobacillales; Lactobacillaceae. The record is from RNAcentral.
AACUAUACAUGCAAGUCGAACGAACUCUGGUAUUGAUUGGUGCUUGCAUCAUGAUUUACAUUUGAGUGAGUGGCGAACUGGUGAGUAACACGUGGGAAACCUGCCCAGAAGCGGGGGAUAACACCUGGAAACAGAUGCUAAUACCGCAUAACAACUUGGACCGCAUGGUCCGAGUUUGAAAGAUGGCUUCGGCUAUCACUUUUGGAUGGUCCCGCGGCGUAUUAGCUAGAUGGUGGGGUAACGGCUCACCAUGGCAAUGAUACGUAGCCGACCUGAGAGGGUAAUCGGCCACAUUGGGACUGAGACACGGCCCAAACUCCUACGGGAGGCAGCAGUAGGGAAUCUUCCACAAUGGACGAAAGUCUGAUGGAGCAACGCCGCGUGAGUGAAGAAGGGUUUCGGCUCACAAAACUCUGUUG